Molecule: long non-coding RNA, 353 nt
Filed under: Mytilus galloprovincialis (Mediterranean mussel)
Lineage: Eukaryota; Metazoa; Mollusca; Bivalvia; Mytilida; Mytilidae
Source: RNAcentral
GGGGGGGGGGGGCUCGGUGGCCGAGUGGUCCAAGUAUCUAGCCUGUCAACACUUACAUGUAGGUUGUGAGUUCGAAUCCCACACGUGGCAGGUAAGCUCGACUCCAAUCUCAAUUGAAUAGAAUUAUUAGUUUUUCGUACCGAAAGUCGGUGUUUCUUUCCGGGGACUUCGGCUUCCUCCAUCAAUAUAAACUCACCACCACGAAUUAGCAUGAUAGUGUUGAAAGUGGCGUUAAAAAGCAAUCAAUCAAUCAACAAAUUAAUCAACCAAUCAUCCAUACCGGUAUAAUUAUAUAUGCAAGAGAGGAUAAUUUUGUAGCUAUCGUUAUAAAAUAUUUUUAAAUUGACUUUGAG